RNAcentral lists this ribosomal RNA (253 nucleotides) under uncultured bacterium. RNAcentral describes it as "partial 16S ribosomal RNA". It matches the Rfam family "Bacterial small subunit ribosomal RNA", at positions 524 to 776 of the family's 1533-position model. The record is from RNAcentral.
UACGUAGGUGACCAGCGUUGUCCGGAUUUACUGGGCGUAAAGAGCGCGCAGGCGGUCGUUCAAGUCGAGUGUGAAGGCCCCCGGCUCAACUGGGGAGGGUCAUUCGAUACUGAUCGACUCGAAGGCAGGAGAGGGAAGCGGAAUUCCCGGUGUAGUGGUGAAAUGCGUAGAUAUCGGGAGGAACACCAGUGGCGAAGGCGGCUUCCUGGCCUGUUCUUGACGCUGAGGCGCGAAAGCUAGGGGAGCAAACGGG